UACGUAGAUGGCAAGCGUUGUCCGGAUUUAUUGGGUUUAAAGGGUGCGUAGGCGGCCUUGUAAGUCAGUGCUGAAAUAUCCCGGCUUAACCGGGAGGGUGGCAUUGAUACUGCAGGGCUUGAGUAAAGUUGAGGUUGGCGGAAUUGACGGUGUAGCGGUGAAAUGCUUAGAUAUCGUCAAGAACACCGAUAGUGAAGACAGCUAACUAAGCUUUAACUGACGCUGAGGCACGAAAGUGUGGGGAUCAAACAGG
This 253-nucleotide ribosomal RNA is filed under the name uncultured bacterium. RNAcentral's name for it is "partial 16S ribosomal RNA". It matches the Rfam family "Bacterial small subunit ribosomal RNA", at positions 524 to 776 of the family's 1533-position model. The record is from RNAcentral.